This 253-nucleotide ribosomal RNA is filed under the name uncultured bacterium. Its description in RNAcentral is "partial 16S ribosomal RNA". It matches the Rfam family "Bacterial small subunit ribosomal RNA", at positions 524 to 776 of the family's 1533-position model. The record is from RNAcentral.
UACGUAGGAUGCAAGCGUUGUCCGGAUUUAUUGGGUUUAAAGGGUGCGUAGGCGGCCUAUUAAGUUAGUGGUAAAAACGUUCGGCUUAACCGGAUACCCGCCAUUGAUACUGAUAGACUUGAGUGCGACAGAGGGUGUUGGAAUGUGUGGUGUAGCGGUGAAAUGCUUAGAGAUCACGCAGAACACCAAUUGCGGAGGCAGAUGCCUAUGUCGUAACUGACGAUGAGGCACGAAAGCGUGGGGAGCAAACAGG